Molecule: ribosomal RNA, 1380 nt
Filed under: Triticum aestivum (bread wheat)
Lineage: Eukaryota; Viridiplantae; Streptophyta; Magnoliopsida; Poales; Poaceae
Description: partial small subunit ribosomal RNA
Source: RNAcentral
AUGCAGGAUAGAGAUCGAUCAGGCGCAGUUAAUGACGCUGCUCCUCCUUCACCGAUCGAUGCUCCAAAGGGCUAUGACCGCGUAGCGCGUACCAGCUUCAAAUUAAAGCACCCACUCCUCCUCGGCGGGAGUCCAUGUGCACGUCGCUGCAGCGUCCCCUCUCCUGCAAAUAUCCGUGUAGUGCUGGACAUCCAGAGACAGAGACAGACACACAAUGGCCGUAGCAAUGCCAGCUGCGUGCUCGCUUCUCCUGCUUCUCCUGCUGGUUGCGCCGCCGGCGCCGGGCUCGUCGGAGGCGGCAGUCCAGCCGAACCCCAAGAUCGUCAACUGGGUCACAGACAAUGCCCGCGCCUCCACGCCCGACAGCUUCGGCGCCCUCAUCUUCGACCUCUCCGUCGGGACGCCGCGGCAGACCCUCUCCUUCGUCAUGGACAUCACCGCGGCGACCACUGCAAGUACGCAUGGGACUUCCAGCGCCGCGGCAGCGGCGCCAUGUCGGGCUACCUCGCCACCGAGACGUUCAGCUUCGGGACCAAGUCCGUCCCCGGCAUGGUGUUCGGCUGCAGCGACAACGUCACGGUGCGGGCCCUCGGCGGCGUCUCUGGCUUCGCCGGAUUCAGCAGGGGGCCCCUCUCCCUCGUCUCGCAGCUCCACGUCUCCAGGUUCUCCUAUUUCAUCGACGACAACAGCUUCCUCAGCUUGGGCGACGCGGACGCCGCGCCGGCUAUGGGCAACAACAGCACGCCGCUGCUGCCGGCCACGACCAAACAGGAUAGUUACCUCUACUACGUCAAUCUCACCGGCAUUCAGGUCGACGGGGAGCUCCUCGCCGACAUCCAGGCGGGGGCCUUCGCCGUCAAGGAAGACGGCUCCGGCGGGGUGUUCCUCAGCACAACGAUUCCCUACACCUUCCUCCAAGAGGCCGCGUACAAGGUUCUGAAGCAGGAGCUCGUGAGCAGGAUUCGGUCACAGGGCGUAGCUCCGAUGAACGCCACGGCCGACGACCUGUGCUUCCUCAAGGAGAACUUCAGCAGCGUUAAGGUUCCAAGGCUAGCGCUGGUGUUCGACGGCGCCGACGCGGCGAUGGAGCUCAAUGUGAAGAACUACUUCUCCAUCUACGACGAAUGGCGCACGUGCCUCACCAUACUGCCGUCGCCGAACGGCGCGGCGGCCGUCCUGGGCAGCCUGCUGCAGACGGGCAGGACCAUGACCUACGACAUUCAUGGCGACGGCGGCCAGCUGACAUUCGAGCCGGUGGCAGCGGGUGGCCCGGACCCGGCGCCGGCCCAUGCGCAUGCGGGUGCCCCUGCGCCGGCGCAUGCGUCGCUCGUCAUAACAGCCACUCUUCUGGCCUGGGUGCUCCUCUUCCAGCAGUUCUAG